Molecule: ribosomal RNA, 457 nt
Filed under: uncultured Thiobacillus sp.
Lineage: Bacteria; Pseudomonadati; Pseudomonadota; Betaproteobacteria; Nitrosomonadales; Thiobacillaceae
Description: bacterial SSU rRNA
Rfam family: Bacterial small subunit ribosomal RNA
Source: RNAcentral
UGGCAGCAGUGGGGAAUUUUGGACAAUGGGGGCAACCCUGAUCCAGCCAUUCCGCGUGAGUGAAGAAGGCCUUCGGGUUGUAAAGCUCUUUCAGCCGGAAAGAAACGGUGCGCUCUAACAUAGCGUGCUAAUGACGGUACCGGCAGAAGAAGCACCGGCUAACUACGUGCCAGCAGCCGCGGUAAUACGUAGGGUGCGAGCGUUAAUCGGAAUUACUGGGCGUAAAGCGUGCGCAGGCGGAUUGUUAAGCAAGAUGUGAAAUCCCCGGGCUUAACCUGGGAAUGGCAUUUUGAACUGGCAGUCUAGAGUGUGUCAGAGGGGGGUGGAAUUCCACGUGUAGCAGUGAAAUGCGUAGAUAUGUGGAGGAACACCAAUGGCGAAGGCAGCCCCCUGGGUCAACACUGACGCUCAUGCACGAAAGCGUGGGGAGCAAACAGGAUUAGAUACCCUAGUAGUC